Molecule: ribosomal RNA, 253 nt
Filed under: uncultured bacterium
Lineage: Bacteria
Description: partial 16S ribosomal RNA
Rfam family: Bacterial small subunit ribosomal RNA
Source: RNAcentral
UACGUAGGCAGCGAGCGUUGUUCGGAAUUACUGGGCGUAAAGAGUGUGUAGGCGGUGCUCUAAGUUCGGUGUGAAAUCUCCCGGCUUAACUGGGAGGGUGCGCCGGAAACUGGAGUGCUCGAGCGUGGGAGAGGAAAGCGGAAUUCCUGGUGUAGCGGUGAAAUGCGUAGAUAUCAGGAGGAACACCUGCGGUGUAGACGGCUUUCUGGACCAUUGCUGACGCUGAGACACGAAAGCGGGGGUAGCAAACAGG